This is a long non-coding RNA of Aegilops tauschii subsp. strangulata, 2589 nucleotides long. RefSeq lists it as uncharacterized. NCBI's taxonomy places the organism in Eukaryota, Viridiplantae, Streptophyta, Magnoliopsida, Poales, Poaceae. The record is from RefSeq and is a predicted model, not a curated record.
AGUCCACACUAGCCUAACCCUAGUUACCUUUCUCCCAUCUCCCGUGCCAACCAUAGCCGCCGCCACUUCACCUUCCUCCUCUCGCCGCUCCAUGUCGGCGCCGGCGGCGCCGGCCCUAAACCACCCCCCGCCGGGCCCCUCCACAUAUAUACUGCUUCGGACCCCUACCCGUCUACCCCACUUCACGCCCCUCCCCAUUCAGAUCGGCCCCUCGAGCUAUUGCAAUCCAGUCAUACCCCUCGAUCUGAGGCGGUGGCCGUGGGACCAACUGCCAGAUUUCUACGUCCCUGUCGUCGCUGACGGCGUGCAUUGAUCGAGCUCCAUCUGGCGGCGAGCUGAGGUGAGGUACAGGAGGUGGCAACACCGCCACGGAUCCAGAGUACAUCAGCGGCCCUUGUGGCUCGGUCCAAUUGUCCGUCAGCCGCGCCACCGUCGGUCCCCUCGUCGUCGCGGUCGUCUUCUCCAUCCGUGGUGCGCAGCCUCCUCUAUGCGUCGCCGUUCACCUUCUCCGGCCGGAAAGAGCCAAUUUUGUAGGUACAUUUUACUGCAGUGUCCAAUGUUUCUGCAUGCACAUAAUGGUGAUGGAUCCCACAUCGGUCAGUGCAUCUAAUGGUAUUUGUACAGCUAAAAACAUUUUUUACUUGGUGAUGAUAUCUGCACUGCCCUUUCCUGGACAUGCCUUUUAUGUUAUGCAUACACUUUACUCAAACAUCUAUUUGCCCUUAUGUUCUGAUAGGGCUCAGUUUGUAUUUGUGAAGUAUAAUGUUUUCUAGAAGUAAGCUUGACUGAAAAUACACAUAAUUCAGUGCUUGUUCUUCUAACUAAAAAUUCAGUCCAUGAUUCUGGUCCUAUACUUACUGAAAUGAUUACUAUAGAAGUCACAAAGCUUUCAAAUUCAAGAAUAAGGAGAGUACUUUCUGUUUUCUUUCCGCCAUUUUCUUUUCAUAUAAAUAUGACAUUUAUUGUUUAUAGUUAAUGGGCUUGUUUUAGCUAUGCAGUUUUCAACAUAUAUGAUUUCUGGUUAAUGGAUAAUAAACUUUCAUGUAGCUAUCGACUGCCCACACAUGUAGCUGUACAAUUUAAUCUCGAGAUACAUCAUAUACAUGCAAUUCUUUAUUUCUCUCUGUCUCGUUCUAUAGGUACCUAAAAUACUUGACGAAGAUGCAAAAUGAUAAACAAGCCGCUUGAAGUUCCAUGUGGUGUGUCUAAUCUUAAUUUUUCAUGACAAUUAAACUGAUAGUAUUUUGUACGAUGGAUCAAAACUCAUAGUGCUCUAAUUCAUCUGCAAUUCUAUAAUUGCAAUGUACUUAACUCCUGCACAGGGACUUGAAAAGGCAACAAUAUUGAAAAAUCUAGCAGGAAUUACUUGGGUAAUUACUUAAGCCAUGCAAUAAAUUAAAUUUGUACUUCUCUGCAUCAUGUAUAAUGUUUGUUAGUGAUGCCAUUGUUUUUGGCGUAUAUACUUUGUUAUUCUCAUUUGUAGGCAUUGUAAAAUCCCAGAACUUAGGGAAAAAUCGUAUGUGCUGUGCAUUUUUGUGUCUUUCCAGAGCCGAAAGAGAAAAGUAGAAUUGCACCUCUUCUUACUGCCUAAUAAAAGGGAAUGUAGCUGCUUGAUAUAUCGGGAAAAGGGAGUUAACCACUUUAUUUAUUACUGGAUGUCGCUUUAAGUUCUAGCAUUUUUAUCUUUCUGUAUUGUCGAAAUAGUGUUCCUUGGCUGACAUAUUUCAUGACCUUCAUCAACGACGGCAAUCACUACUGCAUUCUCACACUACAGUACGUAUUCAGUCAUAAUUAUUUUAUAAUAGUUUAGAUAUACUUCCCUGGAAUAUUCUGCGGACCAUCGUUGGCUGUAUAGCUCUUUUGUUCAUAAUUACUUCCAGCCUGGUUUGUUAUUUCUUGCAUUACUGGUAGAGAUCAGAUUGCCAUAGACCAUCAUAUAAGUUCUAUGUUUGAUUGAUUUCCUCUUAUCCAAUUCUAAAUGUAGUAAUCAAAAUUUGCAUUUGUUUCAUGUAGGAUCUGUUAUGAAAAUCCAGUGGUAGUGGUUAUAGUUUAUUAAAUUAUGUUAAGUGCAGUGUAACUUUGGAAGUAUCUCCACCUUGAACAUUUCAUUUAAUUCUUGUUUUCUCUACCAUUCCAAAUUAACUGAAUUUGACAAAUUUUAAAGGAAGCUAUAUCAACAUCUUCACUACAGAAUUAGUUUCAUUAGAUUCAUCACAAAAUAUAUUUUUGUAAUAUAGAGUCCACUUGCUGUUCUUGAUACUUUAAUGUAUCUAUUAGGAAGUUUGUUACAGGUUUCCAUGGUGGUGAGAGCAUAUUGUAACAGAAGCAUAUUGUUUUUUACAGGUUUCCUUGGUGGUGAGAGGCGCAUAGGAAGUUUGAGCUACGGAGGUGAACUUGAUGAUUAAGAGGGUCUGUACAGUGUUCCAUAUUUGUAAUAUAGUGUAAUUAUUAUUCAGGGCAUGUGAACUGAUGUUGGAUGUGUACUUGGGCACAUUUUAGAAGGCCUUUACUUAGUGAAAUAAUUGGAUAGAAAUUUGUGAAAUGGCCAAACAAUGGACCUGUUCAAUGGAAAUUAAUUGUGUUGCGAAA